AGAGUUUGAUCCUGGCUCAGAGCGAACGCUGGCGGCGUGCUUAACACAUGCAAGUCGAACGAGACUCCGUAGCAAUACGGAGUUUCGUGGCGCAAGGGUGAGUAACACGUGGGUAACCUGCUCGGAGAUGGGGAACAACUCCGCGAAAGCGGAGAUAAUACCGCAUAACAUCCUGGUCGCCUCGGCGAUAGGGAUCAAAGCCCGCAAGGGCGUCACCGGAGGGGCCCGCGGCCCAUUAGCUUGUUGGUGAGGGUAACGGCCCACCAAGGCGAUGAUGGGUAGCCGGUCUGAGAGGAUGACCAGCCACACUGGAACUGAGACACGGUCCAGACUCCUACGGGAGGCAGCAGUGGGGAAUAUUGCGCAAUGGGCGAAAGCCUGACGCAGCGACGCCGCGUGGGGGAUGAAGCUUCUCGGAGUGUAAACCCCUUUCGCCUCGGACGAAACCCCGCAAGGGUUUGACGGUACGAGGAUAAGAAGCCCCGGCUAACUACGUGCCAGCAGCCGCGGUAAGACGUAGGGGGCCAGCGUUGCUCGGAAUUACUGGGCGUAAAGGGUCUGUAGGCGGUGUGGCAAGUCGGGAGUGAAAUUCUGAGGCUUAACCUCAGCGCUGCUUCCGAAACUGCCAUGCUCGAGUGUGGGAGAGGCGAGUGGAAUUGCCGGUGUAGCGGUGAAAUGCGUAGAGAUCGGCAGGAACACCAGUGGCGAAGGCGGCUCGCUGGACCACAACUGACGCUGAGAGACGAAAGCUAGGGGAGCAAACAGGAUUAGAUACCCUGGUAGUCCUAGCCCUAAACGAUCAGGACUUGCCGUGUCCCGCGUCCGCGGGACGUGGCGGAGCUAACGCGUUAAGUCCUGCGCCUGGGGAGUAUGGUCGCAAGACUGAAACUCAAAGGAAUUGACGGGGGCCCGCACAAGCGGUGGAACAUGUGGUUCAAUUCGACGCAACGCGAAGAACCUUACCUGGGCUCGAACGGCUCACGACCAUCCGGUGAAAGCUGGACUUCCCGCAAGGGACGUGAGUCGAGGUGCUGCAUGGCUGUCGUCAGCUCGUGCCGUGAGGCGUUGGGUUAAGUCCCGCAGCGAGCGCAACCCCUGCACGUAGUUGCUACCUGCAAAGGAGAACUCUACGUGGACUGCACCGGAUAACGGUGAGGAAGGUGGGGAUGACGUCAAGUCAGCGUGGCCUUUAUGUCCAGGGCUACACACGUGUUACAAUGCGCGGUACAGACCGUUGCAAACCCGCGAGGGGGA
RNAcentral lists this ribosomal RNA (1254 nucleotides) under uncultured bacterium. RNAcentral's name for it is "bacterial SSU rRNA". It matches the Rfam family "Bacterial small subunit ribosomal RNA", at positions 8 to 1266 of the family's 1533-position model. The record is from RNAcentral.